UUCCAGACUCCUACGGGAGGCAGCAGUGGGGAAUAUUGGGCAAUGGGCGCAAGCCUUACCCAGCAAUACCGCGUGAGUGAAGAAGGUCUUCGGAUUGUAAAGCUCUUUGAUCAGGGACGAACAGAUGACGGUACCUGAAGAACAAGCCCCGGCUAACUACGUGCCAGCAGCCGCGGUAAAACGGAGGAUGCGAGCGUUAUCCGGAUUUAUUGGGUUUAAAGGGUGCGUAGGCGGAAUGCCAAGUCAGCGGUAAAAUCGCGGGGCUCAACCUCGCUCCGCCGUUGAAACUGGCGUUCUUGAGUGGGCGAGAAGUAUGCGGAAUGCGUGGUGUAGCGGUGAAAUGCAUAGAUAUCACGCAGAACUCCGAUUGCGAAGGCAGCAUACCGGCGCCCAACUGACGCUGAAGCACGAAAGCGUGGGUAUCGAACAGGAUUAGAUACCCGAGUA
This 447-nucleotide ribosomal RNA is filed under the name uncultured bacterium. RNAcentral describes it as "bacterial SSU rRNA". It matches the Rfam family "Bacterial small subunit ribosomal RNA", at positions 329 to 792 of the family's 1533-position model. The record is from RNAcentral.